This 489-nucleotide ribosomal RNA is filed under the name uncultured bacterium. RNAcentral describes it as "partial 16S ribosomal RNA". It matches the Rfam family "Bacterial small subunit ribosomal RNA", at positions 28 to 507 of the family's 1533-position model. The record is from RNAcentral.
GAUGAACGCUAGCGGCAGGCUUAAUACAUGCAAGUCGAGGGGCAGCAGGACUGUAGCAAUACAGUUGCUGGCGACCGGCAAACGGGUGCGGAACACGUACGCAACCUACCCAAAACUGGGGGAUAGCCCGGGGAAACCCGGAUUAAUACCUCGUAACCUUUUUAAGUGGCAUCACUUGAUAAGUAUAGCUCCGGCGGUUUUGGAUGGGCGUGCGCCUGAUUAGGUAGUUGGUGCGGGUAACGGCCCACCAAGCCUGCGAUCAGUAACUGGUGUGAGAGCACGACCAGUCACAAGGGCACUGAGACACAGGCCCGACUCCUACGGGAGGCAGCAGUAAGGAAUAUUGGUCAAUGGACGCAAGUCUGAACCAGCCAUGCCGCGUGAAGGAUGAAGGUCCUCUGGAUUGUAAACUUCUUUGAUGGGGGACGAAACCCGGAUAUUCUUAUCCGAUUGACGGUACCUCAGGAAUAAGCACCGGCUAACUCCGUG